Impatiens glandulifera is the source of this 400-nucleotide long non-coding RNA. RefSeq lists it as uncharacterized. The record is from RefSeq and is a predicted model, not a curated record. Lineage: Eukaryota; Viridiplantae; Streptophyta; Magnoliopsida; Ericales; Balsaminaceae. The transcript is spliced from 2 exons.
ACAAAUGUAGGGUUUAGUGGUGGCAAGAGUAGAGAGUUUCAAGAAAAGAAGUGCAAUUAAUAAACCCUAAACGGAGGGAGGAGUGAAGAUGUUGAGAGGCAAACCUGCCGGCGUAAAGAUCCUUUGGGUUUGGGCAAUUGGAACUGCUGCUGUUCUCGUGGCAAAUGUGGCGAGAACAGGGAUGAGGGACGUGCAGAAGCUGAUAAAGCAAGAUGAGGAACAGAGGAACAAUGAAGUUGAAUUUGUAAUGACGGACGGAUCAACUGGAUAUGAUGAAUCUGUUGUUGAAGAUGAGGGGAAAUUAUUGUAAGCAAAAUUUUCAAUUUUGUUUUGAAUUUCUGUCUUCUUCCUUCUUCAAAUUGCAAUAAUAAUACUAAUAAUGUCUUCUUAUUUGAUUCCA